RNAcentral lists this unclassified non-coding RNA (245 nucleotides) under Athalia rosae (coleseed sawfly). RNAcentral describes it as "misc RNA ENSAEAG00005011432.1". The record is from RNAcentral. Lineage: Eukaryota; Metazoa; Arthropoda; Insecta; Hymenoptera; Athaliidae.
GGCGGCGUGUCCCCCCGGGGUUUGCGUAUGAAUUUUAAAAUCGUGCUCGGUCGGCCCCGUUAUCUCUGCAGGCGUAUCUGAUUUCUUGUAACCGUGCUAACCUGUACGGUCGGGCUUGCGGAUUUGGCCACUCCGGUAUCAGCGACGAUCAUCGCCGAGGUAAAUAUUAUUGUGCUGCAUAUCGGAUACGUGUGAAAAGGUGCCGGGCCGUACCAUCCGGAUUUCGGAGUCCACGUUUUUUGCCA